GAUAAACGCUGGCGGCGUGCCUAAUACAUGCAAGUCGAACGAGGGGUUCUUGUAGCAAUACGGGGACUCCUAGUGGCGAAUGGGUGAGUAACGCGUUGGUGACCUGCCCCAAAGAGAGGAAUAACUCCGGGAAACUGGAGCUAAUACCUCAUGUGGUUAUAAGGGUUAAAGGCCUUAUAACUAAAGGAGCAAUCCACUUUGGGAGGGGCCUGCGUCCCAUCAGCUAGUUGGUAGGGUAAUGGCCUACCAAGGCUUCGACGGGUAGGGGGCCUGAGAGGGUGGCCCCCCACACUGGCACUGAAACACGGGCCAGACACCUACGGGUGGCAG
Molecule: ribosomal RNA, 330 nt
Filed under: uncultured Chloroflexota bacterium
Lineage: Bacteria; Bacillati; Chloroflexota
Description: bacterial SSU rRNA
Rfam family: Bacterial small subunit ribosomal RNA
Source: RNAcentral